Molecule: long non-coding RNA, 135 nt
Filed under: Pan troglodytes (chimpanzee)
Lineage: Eukaryota; Metazoa; Chordata; Mammalia; Primates; Hominidae
Description: lincRNA
Source: RNAcentral
GUUUUUGAUACAAAAAUAAACAAUAUUCAGUUUGUGCCCUGAUGAAGUUCAUCGCAUAGAAAAAUUAGCUAGGCAGACAUGCACGCCACAGUGAAGUCCUAAGAAAGCAUAAAGCACAAGCAUCCAAGAACAAAU